AUGGUUGUCGUCAGCUCGUGUCGUGAGAUGUUGGUUAAGUCCCGCAACGAGCGCAACCCUUAUUGCUAGUUACCAUCAUUCAGUUGGGGACUCUAGCGAGACUGCCAGUGAUAAACUGGAGGAAGUGGGGAUGACGUCAAAUCAUCAUGCCCCUUAUGACCUGGGCUACAAACGUGAUACAAUGGCUGAAACAAAGGGCAGCGAAGCAGUGAUGUGGAGCGAACCCAAAAAGCAGUCUCAGUUCGGAUUGAAGUCUGCAACUCGACUUCAUGAAGUCGGAAUCGCUAGUAAUCGCGGAUCAGAACGCCGCGGUGAAUACGUUCUCGGGGGUUU
This 333-nucleotide ribosomal RNA is filed under the name uncultured Acholeplasma sp. Its description in RNAcentral is "bacterial SSU rRNA". It matches the Rfam family "Bacterial small subunit ribosomal RNA", at positions 1045 to 1382 of the family's 1533-position model. Lineage: Bacteria; Bacillati; Mycoplasmatota; Mollicutes; Acholeplasmatales; Acholeplasmataceae. The record is from RNAcentral.